UUUCGUUCUUCUUCUUUCUUCUUCUCUUUUCUCUUCUUCUCUUGUUCUUCCUUCUCUGGGUAAUUCGAAAGAUCAAAUAGAAGAUUUGUUAUCGGUAAGAGGUAGAGAAGAAGUUGGAGUAAUAGUAGUGAUAAUGUUGUUAUCUGUUGAUGAUUCAGAUUUGAAGAAGGUAAUGAAUUAUGAGUUAGGGUUUCAUUUGAGGCUCAAAGAAGAAUUAGAAGAUGAAGACGACGGUUUAGAGGAUUGAACUAACUUGGGUUUAUUACGAAUUAGAAUAUCAGGUUGAAGAGUGAUUUGAAUUUGAUAUUAGGGUUUCUGAGUUUGAUUCAGAGAUGAGUUUGAAGAUAAAAUUAAACUCAGAGAAGAUGUAAUUGACGCUCAAGAGGGAUGAUUGAAGAUGGGUUUUGUGUUAAUUUAUCAGUUGUAGCUGUUUUUGAUGAAGAAUCGGUGAAUUAGGGUUCCUCUGUAAAUCAAAGAUGGUGAUGAAGGUUGCUGGUGUUUAUAGUUUUGAGAUGAUUGUUCAAUUGAGGCAAAGGAAGAAAUAAGUCGACCUCAGUUGCCUGAGCAACACUGAUUUGAGGUAAUUGCUCUUAUUACUAAUAAUCGAUUCAAGUUCUUUAUUGAGUUUAUGAGUUUUUUAAUGAAUUUAGAAUUGACAUGGAAUUGUUGGUGGUUGUGGAUAUGAGCUGUAUGAGAUGUUGCAGGGAGUGUGUGUUAUCUAAGUUGAGAUUUAGCUUAGUUGUUGUAGUUGAGUCAUGGAAUUACAGGGUUGAGUAUAAAAAGAGAUAAGUUGUAUUUGAGUUACAGAUUGGUGGUGAUGUAACUAAGAUUUGAAUUACAGUUGGUAGUGUUAAACUGAACCCAGCUGAAGUGGUGUAUGGUUUUGAUUGUAGUGAUAAUCUGAAGCAGUGUAUGGUUUUAAUUGUAGUGAUAAUCUGAAGUAGAUGUUAAGUGAGGUGAUGCUGGGAUGGUGGUGUUAUUUUUGCUACUGUGAUGUUGUGGAAUGGAGGAUAGGAGUUGGAGGUAUGUUGAUUAAGAAUUGGAAUUAGUUAUGGUUAUAACUGAAUUGAUGUUGCAGAUAUGGAUUUAGUGUUGUAUUGCCGAUGAAGAUGUUUGAGGUAGGUGGUAUGUUUUUGAAUGGUAAUGGUGGCAGUAACUGAAUCCCAGUGAACUGGAUGGCUGGUUUAACUGAAAUAAGAAGCAUUCAGUGUAUGUGAUAGAAUAUGUAAGCUGAAGUAAGUUGUAGUGCUGUUAUGGCAGUGGUCUUAGUGAAAGCAUGCAAUGCAGAUCAAGUUUCAGAGACAGAUCAGAGUUGCGCAGCGAAAGCUUCAAGGGUUGAUUUCGUUAGUCGGUUAACUUAUACUAUGUUUAAUAUAUUGCAUAUUGUAUUUGUAAACCAAAUGACUAUUGUAUAUGUAUCAUUUGAGAGGAGUUUAUGAUUGAAUGCUUAAGUUUAUGAAUUA
This is a long non-coding RNA of Papaver somniferum (opium poppy), 1463 nucleotides long. RefSeq lists it as uncharacterized. The record is from RefSeq and is a predicted model, not a curated record. The transcript has 2 exons. Lineage: Eukaryota; Viridiplantae; Streptophyta; Magnoliopsida; Ranunculales; Papaveraceae.